GUGUGGCCUUGUGGUUAGGACGUUGGGCUAAUGACCCAUUGGUCGUAGGUUCGAGCCC
This 58-nucleotide transfer RNA is filed under the name Oxyrrhis marina. Its description in RNAcentral is "partial tRNA". The record is from RNAcentral. Lineage: Eukaryota; Dinophyceae; Oxyrrhinales; Oxyrrhinaceae.